GAACCCACAGCAAAAAUAAGGGGUGAUUAGUCCUCACUGCUGGGGGAAAUGGGGUUGCCAAAUAUCAAGCAGAAGUAAGUGGGCUUAUUUGGAAUGGAAAUUACAACAACCCGAUUCAGGCAGGAACAUUAAAGACAGAGACCCUUCAGGAAUGAAGGUUUGGGUCACCCUUCCAGGCAAGAAGCCACAACCUGCUGAGCACCUGAUGAGGACAGAGACAACUUGGAAGGGGUAGUGCCAAAAGGACUGACAUGAGUCCUGGUCAUGUGACCUGUUGCAGAAACAAGAACUGCGGUGGAAGUGGAUCAUCAUAAAGGUCUCCAUCCUCAUCUUCAUGUGGAAUAGGCUGAGGAGGAGGAGGAGAGGUUGGUCUUGAUGUCUCAGAGGUGGCAGAGAUGGAAGAAAAUCCACAUAUAAGUGGAUCAGACUCAGAUUGUUCACGGGAUCUCAAGGGGAGUGCAACCUGGCUAGGAGAGGGAGAACUAUGGCCCAGAGAGAGGAAGGGCCUUUAGGGCUUCUUGCUAGAACGUGGGUGCAGGCGCAUGGAGGCUGUGGCUCCCCUUCGCCAGCAGCUUCCCGUGGACUUCCAGACGCGCCCUGCACGGUCAAGGCUGAGUGUGCCUCUCUUCUCAUCCACCGAUGGGUGAAGCUUCCUCUGAUCCUCCAAUUUCUCCUUCCAGUUGUCACUUUGCAGAUCCCCCACAAUUGUGCCAGGCCUCGCCCUGUAAUAAAUCCGUGACCUUG
Molecule: long non-coding RNA, 744 nt
Organism: Pongo pygmaeus (Bornean orangutan)
Lineage: Eukaryota; Metazoa; Chordata; Mammalia; Primates; Hominidae
Exons: 3
Source: RefSeq, a predicted model, not a curated record